GAUGAACGCUGGCGGCGUGCCUAAUACAUGCAAGUCGAGCGAACGGACGAGAAGCUCGCUGUGCUGAUGUUAGCGGCGGACGGGUGAGUAACAAGUGGAUAACCUACCUAUAAGACUGGGCUUACUUCGGGAAACCGGAGCCAAUACCGGAUAAUAUUUUGAACCGCAUGGUUCAAAAGUGAAAGGAGGUCUUGCUGUCACUUAUAGAUGGAUCCGCGCUGCAUUAGCUAGUUGGUAAGGUAACGGCUUACCAAGGCAACGAUGGAUAGCCGACCCGAGGGGGUGAGCGGGCACGGUGGAACUGAGACAGGGUUCCGACCCCUACGGGAGGCAGCAGCAGGGAAGGUGCCGAAAGGGGAGAAAGCCGGAGGGUGCAGCGCCGCGUGAGUGAGGAAGAUCUCCGGCUCGUAAAACUCUGUUAUUAGGGAAGAAGAUAUGUGUAAGUAGUUGUGAGCAUCUUGACGGUACCUAAACAGAAAGCCCCGGCUAACUACGUG
This 497-nucleotide ribosomal RNA is filed under the name uncultured bacterium. Its description in RNAcentral is "partial 16S ribosomal RNA". It matches the Rfam family "Bacterial small subunit ribosomal RNA", at positions 28 to 507 of the family's 1533-position model. The record is from RNAcentral.